Long non-coding RNA from Numida meleagris (helmeted guineafowl), 326 nucleotides. RefSeq lists it as uncharacterized. The transcript is spliced from 3 exons. The record is from RefSeq and is a predicted model, not a curated record. Lineage: Eukaryota; Metazoa; Chordata; Aves; Galliformes; Numididae.
CCCAAGACAAUUGCUCUUCACUCAAUGCGGUUCAGAUAAGCCAAAGGGUUGGACACCCAUGACGUAGAGAGAAGCUGCAGACUGUGACCAAAGGCAUCCUUCUAUCUUCUCCUCGUUGAGCUAAACAGACAGAGUUCUUGCAUUCCCUCUCUCUCUAAGUCUUCCAGUUAUUUGCAAACCUAAUCAUCAAUGAUAGAAGCAUGAAGUGGUUCCAGAUCCAGUCUCAGUGGGACGAAAUACCUCUGUCAUCCAGCUUCACUGAAAAAUCCUAUCGAGUUGGUUGGACCGUAUCUGUUUUCCAUCUGUGCAUGUGAAUUGCCUUUAUC